AGACAAAUAUGGCCGAAUUCCAUAAAUGAGGAUACGGGGAAAAUACAAAAAACAGGGGUGAAUCCUGUUCUGCCUUAAAGGAGGUGUACGGCGUUUCAGGUAGGGAACCCUCUUUCCGAACCCGUCAGCUAACCCCGGAGGCCAAAAGGAGGGCAUAU
Molecule: small RNA, 158 nt
Filed under: Desulfotomaculum sp.
Lineage: Bacteria; Bacillati; Bacillota; Clostridia; Eubacteriales; Desulfotomaculaceae
Description: c-di-AMP sequence
Rfam family: c-di-AMP riboswitch aptamer (ydaO/yuaA leader)
About the family: This family represents a conserved RNA structure found upstream of the ydaO and yuaA genes in Bacillus subtilis and related genes in other bacteria. The ydaO/yuaA element is thought to act as a genetic "off" switch for the ydaO and yuaA genes in its native state.
Source: RNAcentral